Molecule: ribosomal RNA, 1908 nt
Filed under: human gut metagenome
Description: bacterial LSU rRNA
Rfam family: Bacterial large subunit ribosomal RNA
Source: RNAcentral
UCAAGCUGGAAAGAGCGCAAGGGGAAUGCCUUGGCAUCAGGAGCCGAAGAAGGACGUGACAAGCUGCGAAAAGCCUCGGGGAGGAGCAAAUAUCCAUUGAUCCGGGGAUAUCCGAAUGGGGCAACCCGGCUGGACAAUAUCCAGUCAUCCUGCGUUGAACAAAAUAGGCGUAGGAAGGGAACCGCCUGAACUGAAACAUCUAAGUAGGGCGAGGAAGAGACAUCAACCGAGAUUCCGCAAGUAGUGGCGAGCGAACGCGGAAGAGGCCAAACCGAGGGAUUUAUUCCUCGGGGUUGCGGACAGUCAUUUAGCGGAAGUUAUCUAGGAGAAGGGUCUGGGAAGGCCCGCCACAGAGGGUGAGAGCCCCGUAUCCGAAAGAGAAGGCCGUGCGACUGAAUCCAGAGUACCGCGGGACACGUGAAACCCCGUGGGAAACAGGGGGGACCACCCUCCAAGCCUAAAUACUACCUGAUGACCGAUAGAGGAGCAGUACCGUGAGGGAAAGGUGAAAAGGACCCCGGGAGGGGAGUGAAAGAGAACCUGAAACCUUGUGCUUACAAGCACUCAAAGCCCGUUAAAGGGUGAUGAGGUACCUUUUGUAGAAUGGUCCGGCGAGUUAUUGUUACUGGCAAGCUUAAGGCAUUCAGUGCCGGAGGCGCAGGGAGACCGAGUCUGAAUAGGGCGUAUGAAGUCAGUGGCAAUAGACCCGAAACCGGGUGACCUAUCCAUGGGCAGGUUGAAGUGGGGGUAAAACCCCAUGGAGGACCGAACGCACGCCCGUUGCAAUGGUCGGCGAUGACCUGUGGAUAGCGGUGAAAUUCCAAUCGAACUCGGAGAUAGCUGGUUCUCCCCGAAAUAGCUUUAGGGCUAGCGUUGGCUUAGAUUACCGGAGGUAAAGCACUGAAUGGGCUAGGGGCCGAUAAGGUUACUGAACCCUAUCAAACUCUGAAUGCCGGAUAAUUGAUGGCCAGCAGUCAGUCUACGUGAGAUAAGUCUCGUGGACAAAAGGGAAACAGCCCAGACCCACAGCUAAGGUCCCAAAGAUACGCUAAGUGGAAAACGAUGUGGAGUUGCGAAAACAACCAGGAUGUUGGCUUAGAAGCAGCCACUCAUUAAAAGAGUGCGUAAUAGCUCACUGGUCGAGUGACUCUGCGCGGAAAAUAUAACGGGGCUAAGCGUAACACCGAAGCUUGGGCUGCACAGCAAUGUGCGGGGUAGGGGAGCGUCGAAUAUGGGGUGAAGUCGCAGCGGAAGCAGCGGUGGACUGUAUUCGAGUGAGAAUGCCGGAAUGAGUAGCGAGAAUUAUGUGGGAAUCAUAAUGGCCGAAAAUCUAAGGUUUCUUGGGGAAGGUUCGUCCGCCCAAGGUAAGCCGGGAGCUAAGGCGAGGCCGAAAGGCGUAGUCGAUGCACAUACGGUAGAAAUUCCGUAGCCACCGAACUUUAAGUCAGAGGGACACUUUUGGAUAGCGGAACCCGGGCGUUGGUUGACCCGGGCGAAAGGGAGCGAAAAUAUAGUAGCGAAGUCCGCGAUGCUGAGAGGCGAGAAAAGCUCUGAUGGAUACUAAGGUGCCCGUACCGCAAACCGACACAGGUAGAUGAGGAGAGAAUCCUAAGGCCAACGGGAGAAGGGUUGUUAAGGAACUCGGCAAAAUGACCCCGUAACUUCGGGAUAAGGGGAGCCUCCUACGGGAGGCCGCAGCGAAUAGGCCCAAGCGACUGUUUACCAAAAACACAGGUCUCUGCUAAAUCGAAAGAUGACGUAUAGGGGCUGACGCCUGCCCGGUGCUGGAAGGUUAAGAGGAGAUGUUAGCCGCAAGGCGAAGCAUUGAAUCGAAGCCCCAGUAAACGGCGGCCGUAACUAUAACGGUCCUAAGGUAGCGAAAUUCCUUGUCAGGUAAGUUCUGACCCG